GCCUAGUUAGCUUAGUUGGUAGUGCGUCUGCCUUGUAAGCGCUAGGCCGCGGGUUCGAUUCCCGCCCGGGUC
Molecule: transfer RNA, 72 nt
Filed under: Diaphorina citri (Asian citrus psyllid)
Lineage: Eukaryota; Metazoa; Arthropoda; Insecta; Hemiptera; Psyllidae
Rfam family: tRNA
About the family: Transfer RNA (tRNA) molecules are approximately 80 nucleotides in length.
Source: Rfam by way of RNAcentral